GCCUGGUUAGCUCAGCUGGUUAGAGCGUCGUACUAAUAUCUUACUUGAGAGAUAUCAUGUAAUGCGAAGGUCAACAGUUCAAUCCUGUUACUGGGCA
This 97-nucleotide transfer RNA is filed under the name Immersiella caudata. RNAcentral describes it as "Cercophora caudata tRNA". It matches the Rfam family "tRNA". Rfam says of the family: Transfer RNA (tRNA) molecules are approximately 80 nucleotides in length. Their secondary structure includes four short double-helical elements and three loops (D, anti-codon, and T loops). The record is from Rfam by way of RNAcentral. Lineage: Eukaryota; Fungi; Ascomycota; Sordariomycetes; Sordariales; Lasiosphaeriaceae.